AACGAACGCUGGCGGCAGGCUUAACACAUGCAAGUCGAGCGCUGUAGCAAUACAGAGCGGCGCACGGGUGAGUAACACGUGGGAACAUGCCUUUCGGUUCGGAAUAACUCAGGGAAACUUGUGCUAAUACCGGAUACGCCCUUACGGGAAGGAUUAUUGCGAAGAGUGGCCCGCGUUGGAUUAGCUAGUUGGCGGGGUAAAGGACCCACCAAGGCGACGAUCCAUAGCUGGUCUGAGAGGACGACCAGCCACACUGGGACUGAGACACGGCCCAGACUCCUACGGGAGGCAGCAGUGGGGAAGUCUUGGACAAUGGGGGAAACCCGUGAUCCAGCCAUGCCGCGUGAGUGAUGAAGGCCCUAGGGUUGUAAAACUCUUUCGCGCACGACGAUAAUGACGGUAGUGCGAGAAGAAGCUCCGGCUAACUUCGUGCCAGCAGCCGCAGUAAC
Molecule: ribosomal RNA, 449 nt
Filed under: uncultured bacterium
Lineage: Bacteria
Description: bacterial SSU rRNA
Rfam family: Bacterial small subunit ribosomal RNA
Source: RNAcentral